Molecule: ribosomal RNA, 253 nt
Filed under: uncultured bacterium
Lineage: Bacteria
Description: partial 16S ribosomal RNA
Rfam family: Bacterial small subunit ribosomal RNA
Source: RNAcentral
UACGGAGAGUGCAGACGUUGUUCGGAUUCACUGGGCGUAAAGGGCACGUAGGCGGCUCGGCAAAUCGGUCGUGGAAUCUCGACGCUUACCGUCGAAACGGCGGCCGAAAAUACCGGGCUCGAGGGCGUGAGGGGUCACUGGAACUCCUGGUGAAGCGGUGAAAUGCGUAGAUAUCAGGAGGAACGCCGGAGGCGAAAGCGAGUGACUGGCGCGUUCCUGACGCUGAGGUGCGAAAGCUAGGGGAGCAACCAGG